Molecule: ribosomal RNA, 549 nt
Filed under: uncultured Proteocatella sp.
Lineage: Bacteria; Bacillati; Bacillota; Clostridia; Peptostreptococcales; Filifactoraceae
Description: bacterial SSU rRNA
Rfam family: Bacterial small subunit ribosomal RNA
Source: RNAcentral
GGUGAAGCAUCUGAGCUUAGCGGCGGACGGGUGCGUAACGCGUGGGUAAUCUGCCCUUGUCACCGGGAUAACACAUCGAAAGGUGUGCUAAUACCGGAUGAAAUACAGACCUGGCAUCGGGACUGUAUCAAAGUCAUGCGGACAAGGAUGAGCCUGCGUCUGAUUAGCUGGUUGGUGGGGUAAAGGCCUACCAAGGCGACGAUCAGUAGCCGACCUGAGAGGGUGAUCGGCCACACUGGAACUGAGACACGGUCCAGACUCCUACGGGAGGCAGCAGUGGGGAAUAUUGCACAAUGGGCGCAAGCCUGAUGCAGCAACGCCGCGUGAGUGAUGAAGGCCUUCGGGUCGUAAAACUCUGUCCUAAGGGAAGAUAAUGACGGUACCUUAGGAGGAAGCCCCGGCUAACUACGUGCCAGCAGCCGCGGUAAUACGUAGGGGGCAAGCGUCAUCCGGAAUUACUGGGCGUAAAGGGUGCGUAGGUGGCCUGACAAGUCAGGGGUCAAAGGCAACGGCUCAACCGUUGUAAAGCCUUGAAACUGUCGGGCUUGA